CUCCUCCUCCUUCUUCUUCUUCUUCUUCUUCUUCUUCUUCUUCUUCUUCUUCUUCUUCUUCUUCUUCUUCUUCUUCUUCUUCUUCUUCUUCUUCUUCUUCUUCUACUACUACUACUCUCUUCUACUACCACUUUGUAUUGCUAUUUGGAUUUGGAUGACCCAUGUGAUAUUUACUUUUUUUCUCCUAUUUGUGGCAUUUGCAAUGAUGAAUUUUUUCAAACUUUUAAAAAAUGCUGAGGCAAUGGCAUUUGCAAAGAUGACAAACUUUUUAUGCUGAGGCAGCGGCUAUGAUGAUGAAAUGUCCUCAUACUUCUGAGCCUCUAAACUAGGAUGGCUUGUAUACCACAUACAAGCAACCAGUUUAGAAGCGAUGUGAUGACAAUGGAACAAAUUUGAGCCAAUUAUUCUAUUUGAUACUAUUCUUAUACAAUAAUGUACUUAUAUAUAUACAUUAAUGAUUUAAAUUUUGUUGCCUUUUCUAAUUCAACUUAAGAAUAACUUUACUCUAUAAAUUUCAUUUGUUCAUUCCACUACGGCCUACUAGACUAACGAAAUCAUUGACACUUGUAGAUUCUAGCUUGGACAGCCUAUUUAAGAUGAUUCCUGAGAAAAAUAUCAAUUAUAUUGUUUAUAUGAUUCCUGUGAUGUCUGUCAAUUUGAGAUUUUUAUGCUGCCUAUGAUGCCAACGUACUUUUUGCUAAGCAAAUGCCACGGCCUGUGAUGCCUAAUUUUUUCUAAGAAAAAGCCACUGCCUAUCAUGCGAAAUUAUUUUGAAAUGGAGUUGAUUUGUAAAGGCCAAAGGACUUUGCCCUUCAGGAAUGAUUCGACUACUACUACUCUAUUCUACUACUACUGCUCCUCUCUUCUUCUUUUUAUUCUUCUUUUUCUUCUUCUUCUUCUUCUUCAUCUUCUUCUUCAUCUUCCUCUUCUUCUUCUUCUUCUUCUUCUCCUUCUUCUUCUUCUUCUUCUUCUCCUCCUCCUCCUCCUCCUCCUCCUCCUCCUCCUCCUUCUUCUUCUUCUUCUUCUUCUUCUUCUUCUUCUUCUACUCUCUUCUACUACCACUUUGUAUUGCUAUUUGGAUUUGGAUGACCCAUGUGAUAUUUACUCUUUUCCUCCUAUUUGUGGCAUUUGCAAUGAUGAAUUUUUUUCAAACUUCUAAAAAAUGCUGAGGCAAUGACAUUUGCAAUGAUGACAAACUUUUUAUGCUGAGGCAGCGGCUAUGAUGAUGAAAUGUCCUCAUACUUCUGAGCCUCUAAACUAGGAUGCCUUGUAUACCACAUACAAGCAACCAGUUUAGAAGCGAUGUGAUGACAAUGGGAUAAAUUUGAGCCAAUUAUUCUAUUUGAUACUAUUCUUAUACAAUAAUAUACUUAUAUAUAUAUAUACAUUAAUGAUUUAAAUUGUGUUGCCUUUUCUAAUCCAACUUAAGAAUAACUUUUCUCUACAAGUUUCAUUUGUUCAUUCUACUACGGCCUUCUAGAGUAGCGAAAUCAUUCACACUUGUAGAUUCUAGCUUAGACAACCUAUUUAAGAUGAUUCCUGUGAAAAAUAUCAAUUAUGUUGUUUAUAUGAUUCUUGUGAUGUCUGUCAUUUUGAGAUUUUUAUGCUGCCUAUGAUGCCAACGUACUUUUUGCUAAGCAAAUGCCGCUACCUGUGAUGCCUAAUUUUUUUCUAAGAAAAAGCCACUGCCAAUCAUGCGAAAUUAUUUUGAAAUGGAGUUGAUUUGUAAAGGCCAAAGGACUUUGCCCUUCAGGAAUGAUUCGACUACUACUACUACUCUAUUCUACUACUACUGCUCCUCUAUUCUUCUUCUUCUUCUUCUUCUUCUUCUUCUUCUUCUUCUUCCUCUACGUUUUCUCCUUCUUCUCCUUCUUCUUCUUCUUCUCCUUCUACUACUUCUUCUUCUUCUUCUCCUUCUUCCUCUUCUUCUCCUUCUUCUCCUGCUUCUUCUUCUCCUUCUUCUUCUUCUUCUUCUCCUCCUCCUCCUCCUCCUCCUCCUCCUCCUCCUCCUUCUUCUUCUUCUUCUUCUUCUUCUUCUUCUUCUUCUUCUUCUUCUUCUUCCUCUUCUCCUUCUUCUCCUUCUUCUCCUGCUUCUUCUUCUUCUUCUUCUUCUUCUUCUACACUCUUCUACUACCACUUUGUAUUGCUAUUUGGAUUUGGAUGACUCAUGUGAUAUUUACUUUUUUUCUCCAAUUUGUGGCAUUUGCAAUGAUGAAUUUUUUCAAACUUCUAAAAAAUGCUGAGGCAAUGGCAUUUGCAAUGAUGACAAACUUUUUAUGCUGAGGCAGCGGCUAUGAUGAUGAAAUGUUCUCAUACUUCUGAGCCUCUAAACUAGGAUGGCUUGUAUACCACAUACAAGCAACCAGUUUAGAAGCGAUGUGAUGACAAUGGGACAAAUUUGAGCCAAUUAUUCUAUUUGAUACUAUUCUUAUACAAUAAUGUACUUAUAUAUAUACAUUAAUGAUUUAAAUUUUGUUGCCUUUUCUAAUUCAACUUAAGAAUAACUUUACUCUAUAAAUUUCAUUUGUUCAUUCCACUACGGCCUACUAGACUAGCGAAAUCAUUCACACUUGUAGAUUCUAGCUUGGACAACCUAUUUAAGAUGAUUCCUGAGAAAAAUAUCAAUUAUAUUGUUUAUAUGAUUCCUGUGAUGCCUGUCAAUUUGAGAUUUUUAUGCUGCCUAUGAUGCCAACGUAUUUUUUGCUAAGCAAAUGCCACUACCUGUGAUGCCUAAUUUUUUUCUAAGAAAAAGCCACUGCCAAUCAUGCGAAAUUAUUUUGAAAUGGAGUUGAUUUGUAAAGGCCAAAGGACUUUGCCCUUCAGGAAUGAUUUGACGACUACUACUACUACUCUAUUCUACUACUACUACUGCUCCUCUCUUCUUCUUCUUCUUCUUCUUCUUCUUCUUCUUCUUCUUCUUCUUCUUCUUCUUCUUCUUCUUCUUAUUCUCCUCCUCCUGUCCUUCUUCUACUUCUUUCUCUUCCUCUUCUUCUUCUUCUUCUUCUUCUUCUUCUUCUUCUUCUUCUUCUUCUUCUGCUUCUUCUUCUUCCUCCUCCUCUUCUUCUUCAUCAUCUUCUUCUUCUUCUUCUUCUUCUUCUUCUUCUUCUUCUUCUUCUUCUUCUUCUUCUUCUUCUUCUUCUUCUUCUGCUUCUUCAUCUUCCUCCUCCUCCUCCUCCUCUUCUUCUUCAACUCUCUUCUACUACUACUUUGUACUGAUAUUUGGAUUUGGAUGACCCAUGCGAUAUUUGCUUCUUUUCACCUAUUUGUGGCAUUUGCAAUGAUGAAUAUUUUUAAAUUUCUAAAAAAUGCUGAGGCAAUGGCAUUUGCAAUGAUGACAAACUUUUUAUGCUGAGGCAGCGGCUAUGAUGAUGAAAUUUCCUCAUACUUCUGAGCUUCUAAACUAGGAUGGCUCGUAUACCACGUACAAGCAACCAGUUUAGAAGCGAUGUGAUGAGAAUGGGACAAAUUUGAGCCAAUUAUUCCAUUUGAUACUAUUCUUAUACAAUAAUGUACUUUUACAUAUAUAUAUAUAUACAUUAUGAUUUAAAUUGUGUUGCCUUUUCUAAUCCAACAUAAGAAUAACUUCUCUAUAAAUUUUAUUUGUUCAUUCUACUACGGCCUUUUAGAGUAGCGAAAUCAUUCACACUUGUAUAUUCUAGCUUGGACAGCAUAUUUAAGAUAAUUUCUGUGAAAAAUAUCAAUUAUAUUGUUUAUAUGAUUCCUGUGAUGUCUUUCAAUUUGAUAUUUUUAUGCUGCCUAUGAUGCCAACAUACUUUUUGCUAAGCAAAUGCCACUACCUGUGAUGCCUAAUUUUUUUCUAAGAAAAAGCCACUACCUAUCAUGCGAAAUUAUUUUGAAAUGGAGUUGAUUUGUAAAGGCCAACGGACUUUGCCCUUCGGGAAUGAUUCGACUACUACUACUCUAUUCUACUACUACUCUAUUCUACUACUACUACUACUCCUCUCUUCUUCUUCUUCUUCUUCUUCUUCUUCUUCUUCUUCUUCUUCUUCUUCUUCUUCUUUCUUUCUUUCUUUCUUUCUUUCUUUCUUUCUUCUUCUUCUUCUUCUUCUUCUUCUUCUUCUUCUUCUCCUUCUUCUUGCCUUCUUCUUGCUCUUCUUCUUCUUCUUCUUCUUCUUCUUCUUCUUCUUCUUCUUCUUCUUCUUCUUCUUCUUCUUCCUCUACUUCUUCUUCUUCUUCGUCUCCUUCUUCUUCUUCUUCUUCUUCUUCUUCUUCUUCUUCUUCUUCUCCUUCUUCUUCUUCUUUCUUCUUCUUCUUCUUCUUCUUCUUCUUCUUCUUCUCUCUUCUACUACUACUUUGUACUGCUAUUGGAUUUGGAUGACCCAUGUGAUAUUUGCUUUUUUUUCUCCUAUUUGUGGCAUUUGCAAUGAUGAAUUUUUUCAAACUUCUAAAAAAUGCUGAGGCAAUGACAUCUGCAAUGAUGACAAACUUUUUAAGCUGAGGCAGCAGCUAUGAUGAUGAAAUAUCCUCAUACUUCUGAGCCUCUAAACUAGGAUGACUUGUAUACCACAUACAAGCAACCAGUUUAGAAGCGAUGUGAUGACAAUGGGACAAAUUUGAGCCAAUUAUUCCAUUUGAUAUGAUUCUUAUACAAUAAUGUACUUUUACAUAUAUAUAUAUAUAUAUAUACAUUAAUAAUUUAAAUUGUGUUGCCUUUUCUAAUCCAACUUAAGAAUAACUUUUCGCUAUAAAUUUUAUUUGUUCAUUCUACUAUGGCCUUCUAGAGUAGCGAAAUCAUUCACACUUGUAGAUUCUAGCUUGGACAGCCUAUUUAAGAUGAUUCCUGUGAAAAAUAUCAAUUAUAUUGUUUAUAUGAUUCCUGUGAUGCCUAUCAAUUUGAGAUUUUUAUGCUGCCUAUGAUGCCAACGUAUUUUUUGCUAAGCAAAUGCCACUACCUGUGAUGCCUAAUUUUUUUCUAAGAAAAAGCCACUGCCAAUCAUGCGAAACUAUUUUGAAAUGGAGUUGAUUUGUAAAGGCCAAUGAACUUUGCCAUUCAGGAAUGAUUCGACUACUACUACUACUCUAUUUUACUACUACUGCUGCUCCUCUCUUCUUUCUCUUCUUCUUCUUUCUUCUUCUUCUCUCCUUCUUCUUCCUCUUCUUCUUCCUCUUCUUCUUCUUCCUCUACUUCUUCGUCUUCUUCUUCUCCUUCUCCUUCUCCUUCUCCUUCUCCUUCUCCUUCUCCUUCUCCUUCUCCUUCUCCUUCUCCUUCUCCUUCUUCUUCUUCUUCUUCUUCUUCUUCUUCUUCUUCUUCUUCUUCCUCCUCCUCCUCUUCUUCUUCUUCUUCUUCUUCUUCUACUCUCUUCUACUACUACUUUGUACUGCUAUUUGGAUUUGGAUGACUCAUGUGAUAUUUGUUUUUUUUCUCCUAUUUGUGGCCUUUGCAAUGAUGAAUUUUUUCAAACUUCUAAAAAAUGCUGAGGCAAUGGCAUUUGCAAUGAUGACAAACUUUUUAUGCUGAGGCAGCGGCUACGAUGAUGAAAUGUCCUCAUACUUCUGAGCCUCUAAACUAGGAUGGGUUGUAUACCACAUACAAGCAACCAGUUUAGAAGCAAUGUGAUGACAAUGGGACAAAUUUGAGCCAAUUAUUCCUUUUGAUACUAUUCUUAUAAAAUAAUGUACUUUUACAUAUACAUAGAAGAAGAAGAAGAAGAAGAAGAAGAAGAAGAAGAAGAAGAAGAAGAAGAGAGGAGUAGUAGUAGUAGUAGUAGUAGAAUAGAGUAGUAGUAGUAGUCGAAUCAUUCCCGAAGGGCAAAGUCCGUUGGCCUUUACAAAUCAACUCCAUUUCAAAAUAAUUUCGCAUGAUAGGUAGUGGCU
Molecule: long non-coding RNA, 5835 nt
Filed under: Sorghum bicolor (sorghum)
Lineage: Eukaryota; Viridiplantae; Streptophyta; Magnoliopsida; Poales; Poaceae
Description: long non-coding RNA (SBIC_LNC017094)
Source: RNAcentral